UGUCAUGAACUCCAUAACCUUCACUGUUCAUUAUAUCGUCUUUCAUAGUAAUUAUUGAGAUUUCUAAUCAAAUUAGAUCUGAAUGAGACUUAAUCAAUAAAUUGUCUAUCUUUUCUGUUCUUUGAAGGGUGGUGCCCCGCGAGAACUUUAACCAACUAAAGUUAUGAUCUAAUAUUAAUAUUUGUAAUAUUAAUGUUUUAUAUUUUAUUUUGAUAAACAAAUUUAUCGAAUGCCUAAAGGCACAACAUUCUAUGGUAACACUUUUUAGGCAUUAUUGCACAACAUGUGUUUGAGCUGAAAGCUGCAGAAUAAAGUGACGUGUGGUUGAGGUGUUGGUAACAAGCAGUGAUAUGAGAGGACGCACAGAGAGGGAGGAGCAACACUGUCAAAGAGCAGAAAAGACCUCCUGCUGUGCUGCAUUCAAUAUCUACAGCAGACCUCAGAUAGUGUCGGUAAGAUGUUCCCUCUGCGUCACGCUGGAGUCUGGCCUUUGUUUCUCUUCAUCCUGAAAGGUGUCAGCUGUGAUGAACUGACUCCAGACCAGACUGCAGAGUUCAGUGUAGAAGGCAGCACUGUUACUCUGUCCUACAAGUUCUCCAGGACAAUAACUGGUAGUGAUGAUUUCUUCUGGUAUCGACAGAAUCCAGGACAAGCUCCAGAGUUCCUCCUUUACAUCUCAGGGUUGAAUGUGACAAGAAGGUCUGAUUCUCUGAAGUCAGAAACAAGGUUCUUCUCUCACCUGUCUGGAAUUGAUGUCAAACUGCAGAUCUCCUCUGCUGCAGUGACAGACUCUGCUGUGUACUACUGUGCUGUGAGGCCCACAGUGACAGGAAACUACACAACUCUGUACAAAAACCUGUGGAGCAACCACACAACUCCUCAUCCUCCACUAGAGGGAGUCACUCACUGUUAAACCUCAGUGUUUCUUAUGAUCCAGUCCAGAUUCUUUGUUGUGAUGAUUAAACAGACGAAUGACCAGCAGAUUAUUUUCUAUAUAAAAUAACAGAAAGUCUCAAAGAUGACGAGAUGCUGAGUCAUGUUCACUGUGUCAUGUGUUGUUAUACUUGAGGCAUCGACCUAUAUUGUCCCGU
Molecule: non-coding RNA, 1091 nt
Organism: Platichthys flesus (European flounder)
Lineage: Eukaryota; Metazoa; Chordata; Actinopteri; Pleuronectiformes; Pleuronectidae
Source: the annotation of a RefSeq genome assembly